UUUCCGUAGGUGAACCUGCGGAAGGAUCAUUAAUGAGUUGUCAUGGGGUUCGAUGCUGGCAGCCAGUUUUUGGAUGCAUGUGCUUGCCCUAACAAUCAUCUUCUUCCAGACACCUGUGCACAUUUUUGAGGGAGUCUUGAGUUGGUUGCCGCUCUUGGGUGAUUUUCUCACAUUCCCUUAAAUCAUUAUACGCUAUUAACAAUGUUGAACGUGCUCUGUGCCGCAAGGCCAUUAAUAUAAUACAACUUUUAACAACGGAUCUCUUGGCUCUC
RNAcentral lists this unclassified non-coding RNA (272 nucleotides) under plant metagenome. RNAcentral describes it as "partial contains small subunit ribosomal RNA, internal transcribed spacer 1, and 5.8S ribosomal RNA". The record is from RNAcentral.